This 428-nucleotide ribosomal RNA is filed under the name uncultured bacterium. RNAcentral describes it as "partial 16S ribosomal RNA". It matches the Rfam family "Bacterial small subunit ribosomal RNA", at positions 354 to 796 of the family's 1533-position model. The record is from RNAcentral.
GUGGGGAAUAUUGGGCAAUGGGCGCAAGCCUGACCCAGCAACGCCGCGUGAAGGAAGAAGGCUUUCGGGUUGUAAACUUCUUUUACCAGGGACGAAACAAAUGACGGUACCUGGUGAAUAAGCCACGGCUAACUACGUGCCAGCAGCCGCGGUAAUACGUAGGUGGCGAGCGUUAUCCGGAUUUAUUGGGUGUAAAGGGCGUGUAGGCGGGACAGCAAGUCAGAUGUGAAAACCAGAGGCUCAACCUCUGGCCUGCAUUUGAAACUGUUGUGCUUGAGUGUCGGAGAGGUAAUCGGAAUUCCGUGUGUAGCGGUGAAAUGCGUAGAUAUACGGAGGAACACCAGUGGCGAAGGCGGAUUACUGGACGAUAACUGACGCUGAGGCGCGAAAGCGUGGGGAGCAAACAGGAUUAGAUACCCUAGUAGUCC